AGCUCCUCCAAGGCCGGCAGCAGGGACUCCUUCCUCUGUCUUUUGAUACUAUUAAGAGGCCAAGACCCAAGGAGAUGAAUGGGUUAGUGGUUGAUCUGGCAUCACACUCUUCUUACCGGCUUAAGCUGGAAAAAGAAGAAGGAAGAAGAAGAAGAGGAGGAAAGAAGGAGGAGGAGAAACAGACACAGCAGCAGCAGCAGAAGAAGAAGAAGAAGAAAAAGAAAUUCUGCCUCAAAACUGCAAUGUAGAACCCCCGCCUGUGUGUUUAGUUUGCAGAUUUUGGACUCAAAACUGAAACAUCAGCUCUUACCCGAAUUUCCAACUGUGCUCCUGCUCUACAGAUUUUAGGUUUCCCACCCUCCACAAUCACGUGAGCCAACUCUGUAUUUGCAUCUAUGUCUCCUAUUGGCUCUGUUUCUCUUGAGAAUCCUAAUACAUCUGCUGAUUCACAAUGAGAAAAAAUCGUGAAAGUUAAAGUUGGACUUGAUUGAGUAACUGAA
RNAcentral lists this long non-coding RNA (500 nucleotides) under Equus caballus (horse). RNAcentral describes it as "lncRNA (ENSECAG00000056834.1)". The record is from RNAcentral. Lineage: Eukaryota; Metazoa; Chordata; Mammalia; Perissodactyla; Equidae.